Vidua macroura (Pin-tailed whydah) is the source of this 384-nucleotide long non-coding RNA. RefSeq lists it as uncharacterized. NCBI's taxonomy places the organism in Eukaryota, Metazoa, Chordata, Aves, Passeriformes, Viduidae. The transcript is spliced from 2 exons. The record is from RefSeq and is a predicted model, not a curated record.
CCGGCCCCGGCCCCGGCGCGGCCCCGACCGCGUCCCGCGGACACUCACCGGCCCUGCGUGUCCCGGGCGGCGGAAGACGCUGAGAGGCCUCAUCUAAAGAGAAAUUUUGGACACGAAUGAGGGGCGGGGGCUGAAACCCCUGGAUGUGCCACCCAACCAUUACCCACCUGCGAGGAGGCUCAGGGGCUUCGUGAAGAACGACACCAGGAACAUCCCUGGAGUGUCACAACCCCUCAGGAUGCUUGGCACCACCAGGUUUGCCUUCGUCCCAGGCAUGGGCUGACCGUGGCACCAAGGUAUGGUUUGACAUGGUGCCAGGCUUGUCACACGGCAGGAUAUUGUCUGUAUAAAGAUAGAACAUUUAUUAAAACAGUCAUUAAUGGA